Molecule: ribosomal RNA, 399 nt
Filed under: Bacteroides fragilis
Lineage: Bacteria; Pseudomonadati; Bacteroidota; Bacteroidia; Bacteroidales; Bacteroidaceae
Description: bacterial SSU rRNA
Rfam family: Bacterial small subunit ribosomal RNA
Source: RNAcentral
ACAAUGAAGAGUUUGAUCCUGGCUCAGGAUGAACGCUAGCUACAGGCUUAACACAUGCAAGUCGAGGGGCAUCGGGAAGAAAGCUUGCUUUCUUUGCCGGCGACCGGCGCACGGGUGAGUAACACGUAUCCAACCUGCCCUUUACUCGGGGAUAGCCUUUCGAAAGAAAGAUUAAUACCCGAUAGCAUAAUGAUUCCGCAUGGUUUCAUUAUUAAAGGAUUCCGGUAAAGGAUGGGGAUGCGUUCCAUUAGGUUGUUGGUGAGGUAACGGCUCACCAAGCCUUCGAUGGAUAGGGGUUCUGAGAGGAAGGUCCCCCACAUUGGAACUGAGACACGGUCCAAACUCCUACGGGAGGCAGCAGUGAGGAAUAUUGGUCAAUGGGCGCUAGCCUGAACCAGC